CAGCCGCCCUCCCCUUUUUUAGAUUUCUUCCUUCGAUUUUUCCUCUGGGUUUCAGACCUUAGUGCGCCCGACUCCGGCAUGUUGCCAUCAUAGCGCCGCCGUGACUCCGCCGUGAGCGGCGGUCGGAGCCACGCGAAAUCUACCCCCUUUUUAACGGUUUUAAAAAAAUUAGAAGGUCAAGCCUCCUAGGCCUCAACGGCCGAAAGAAAAGAAAACCUCACGCCCUCACGCGGCCCAACCUCAGCGACGAGGAAGAGGAUUCCGGCGACGAGACCCACGGGCGAACCUAGGUACAUGGCGAAGUUCACGGCUUUUUGCCAUUUUGGUGCAAGGCUGGCGACAGAUUAGGUGUACGGCAGCACAUGGAGGGCAAAGGGCUGCGGCGCCCUAGGAUACUCUGGAGGCUAGGGUUUCCCGAAAAUUUUAAGGUUUUUGGGCUUAUCGGGCCCUGGGGUAGUGAGUUUAAGUCUGCUGGGCUUGUAAUGUUUAUUUUGUUUAGUACUUGGGCCCGGGCAAAGAAAAUUGGGCUUUACAGCAUGAACAAAAAUUGUAACGAACCGAAAGUUAGUGGUGUCAAAAAUCUAAUUUCGAUACUCCAUCUCUGUAAACAGAGUUUGUAAAUAUUUUUAUUAAAUAUUUAUGGAGUUAUUUUAGAAGUGAA
Molecule: long non-coding RNA, 661 nt
Organism: Gossypium raimondii (Peruvian cotton)
Lineage: Eukaryota; Viridiplantae; Streptophyta; Magnoliopsida; Malvales; Malvaceae
Exons: 2
Source: RefSeq, a predicted model, not a curated record